This is a non-coding RNA of Phalacrocorax carbo (great cormorant), 562 nucleotides long. NCBI's taxonomy places the organism in Eukaryota, Metazoa, Chordata, Aves, Suliformes, Phalacrocoracidae. The record is from RefSeq and is a predicted model, not a curated record.
AUACACACUAAGUCAACUCAUAAAGUAACGAGUUGUAAACCAUAAGGGGGGGAUUGAGUGUUAUAGAUACUGGGAGAUCAGGCAGAAACACAGAGGUUGCAGAGUCUAACCAGUCACAAGACUCCAGGCAGAAAGAAACCACGAACUGCAGACUGGCAGCAGGCUCCAAUUAAGAGAAGGAAUCUUCUCCAGGGCAGAUGUAGCUUUUCUCAAUAAUUAACAAUUCAGAUUUUUCCAAAGUUAAAUACUAUAUUCCUAGUGACUCUAACUAAACAAAAGAUCUCUUAGAUGAAAGUACAUUUUAAACUGCUCCAGUCAUGAAGGAUACGAAGUACAGUGAUCAAGAUACUCACCAAAACCAGACUGAAGUUGAAAGAACAACAAACAACUGCUUAAGACAAUGAGCUCCCAAGAUGCUACUGCCAGGAAAGGUCUGCAGCACUGAAGUCAGUGACACCAAGCUCCCCAUGAGAAAAAGGCAUCUCAGCAAAACAGAGGCAAGAAAGAAUACCAAUGAUUGGCUUAUACAGGGCCUGAACCUAACCUGGUUUGAGAAGGUGUG